RNAcentral lists this long non-coding RNA (636 nucleotides) under Sparus aurata (gilthead seabream). Its description in RNAcentral is "lncRNA (ENSSAUG00010016755.1)". Lineage: Eukaryota; Metazoa; Chordata; Actinopteri; Spariformes; Sparidae. The record is from RNAcentral.
GUGCUGUUUGUUCUUUCUCUGUGCAGAAAUGUCAGCGUCCUGCUCAUUGUUGUUUUUUUUUCUCCCCCCCACCCCCCUCUCUCUUCAGGGUCCUGGAUGGAGGAAGGUCAGCUGACAUGGCAAGGUCGACAAACAAACAAACAAACAGAAGGAAUUAAAAUAGAGAAAAACAGAGCAGAUGAAACGUGGCGCUGGUGUGUUUUUAUCGCUGCGAGGCUGAUGGCAUGUAGCAGCCAUUACUCUCCGUUGUGUCCUCUGCCCCCCAUUGGCUGCGACAACACCGCCUGGCAGGGCUGCCAGUGUCACGUCAUCUCAUGCUUCUGCUUAACUACGCGGACGACAAGGGCCGUUUCACACCAGGACGGGGUUUUUCUGCCUCUUGCUCCUCAGUGGGUGUUGACAAACCUUGCCUUCCUGCUCUCGGGCACGUAUGGAUGCUCGCUCGGAGAACGUGACCUCUGCUAAACGCGCCUAUCUCGCCUGAAUGGAAGAAGAAGAGCAUGAAAAGACCGCUGCUGAAUGCUGCUGGGUAAAGAAGUGUGCUGUACGCAAUGAAGAGAAUGGGCCCCGAUGGGGGGAAGAGGAGGGUGGAUGACGAUUAGGAUGACGGUGAUCAUGAUGGCGAUAAUGAUAAUG